CCUACGGGUGGCAGCAGUGGGGAAUAUUGGACAAUGGGCGAAAGCCUGAUCCAGCCAUGCCGCGUGUGUGAAGAAGGCCUUCGGGUUGUAAAGCACUUUCAGUGGGGAAGAAAGCCUUGGGGCUAAUACCCUCGAGGAAGGACAUCACCCACAGAAGAAGCACCGGCUAACUCCGUGCCAGCAGCCGCGGUAAUACGGAGGGUGCGAGCGUUAAUCGGAAUUACUGGGCGUAAAGCGCGCGUAGGCGGUCUGAUAAGCCGGUUGUGAAAGCCCCGGGCUCAACCUGGGAACGGCAUCCGGAACUGUCAGGCUAGAGUGCAGAAGAGGAAGGUAGAAUUCCCGGUGUAGCGGUGAAAUGCGUAGAGAUCGGGAGGAAUACCAGUGGCGAAGGCGGCCUUCUGGACUGACACUGACGCUGAGGUGCGAAAGCGUGGGUAGCAAACAGGAUUAGAUACCCUGGUAGUC
RNAcentral lists this ribosomal RNA (465 nucleotides) under Vreelandella stevensii. RNAcentral describes it as "partial 16S ribosomal RNA". It matches the Rfam family "Bacterial small subunit ribosomal RNA", at positions 338 to 795 of the family's 1533-position model. Lineage: Bacteria; Pseudomonadati; Pseudomonadota; Gammaproteobacteria; Oceanospirillales; Halomonadaceae. The record is from RNAcentral.